This 21-nucleotide non-coding RNA is filed under the name Mus musculus (house mouse). Lineage: Eukaryota; Metazoa; Chordata; Mammalia; Rodentia; Muridae. The record is from RNAcentral.
UGGUCUCUUGGCUCACAGGAC